AUCAUUCGUGGUAUUGUAGUGAUUCACUACCCGAUUAAUAAAACCCAUAUUUUAAUUCUUUUAAUUUUAUGGAUUUUUGGCAUCUGAUUUUGGUUUUUGAAUAAAUCAAAUUUGUUUACUGUUAGUCAAAUUUGUUUAGAUCUUUUCAUCGGGGGUUACAAACAGCAACGCUUUCUUCCUGAAGAAUAGCGAAUUUGGUCUCGGUUUGAAGAAAAUUUGAAGCCCAUAAAAGAUUGCAUCUCCUGCUGUCGAUUUGAUUUGGGAGAUUGGGUUUUUCGAGUUUGUGACUGUUCUUUGGAGCCUGCGAAGACCUGUGUGUUUAAGGAGAUUGGGUUUUUCGAGUUUGUGACUGUUCUUUGGAGCCUGCGAAGACCUGUGUGUUUAAGGAGAUUGGGUUUUUCGAGUUUGUGACUGUUCUUUGGAGCCUGCGAAGACCUGUGUGUUUAAGGAGUUGUGGGUCUUCAUUUUUUGGGGCCUUUUUCUCUGCCAUUGUAACAUUUUCGUAAUAGAGUUUUAAGAUUUUUGGAGGACUACAACAUAUCAAGUAUGGAGGGAAUUGAUAGAAGCGAUAUGUCAGAGGUUGGCAAUGAAGAAGUUGACUUUGGACAAACAAAUGUUCACAAUUUUCAACAGUCAGACCCAAGGUAUCGUAGGAGUAAUCAACAAAGGCAAAAUCAUAGGAGCAAUCAACAAAGACAAAGACGACAAUCUAUGAAUUCAUCACAGCGAGCUCGAAUUUCAAUACGACGACGUGCCAAUUAUCAAACCCGCU
Long non-coding RNA from Pyrus x bretschneideri (Chinese white pear), 772 nucleotides. RefSeq lists it as uncharacterized. Lineage: Eukaryota; Viridiplantae; Streptophyta; Magnoliopsida; Rosales; Rosaceae. The record is from RefSeq and is a predicted model, not a curated record. The transcript has 7 exons.